UAAAUUAUCUAUUAGAGUAGUUUGAUUCACCUUAUUUCACUUUUAAAUUAUAGGAAGUGAUCAAAUUUUAGAAUUCAAACCUCUUAUCUUAUUUUCUAAAAUAUAUCUCGAUAUAUAAUUUAUUAGUUGUAUUCAAAUUUUGUAACUUCUUUAAAUACAUGGAAUCAUGUCGAUAUAACUUUUCCACCUCAUCCACCGGCUUAAUCUCUCCUAUUAACAACGCACUGUCUGCCAGCGCCAGGCAAGUGGCCCAUUUUUCGCAUUUUUAUUCUUUUGCGAUAAUGGCAAGCUGAUCUUCCAUCCAUGAACAUCAUGCCAAUAUCGGCACUGGUUGCGUAGAGGAAUUUAUCUUGUCCUCUGCACUCUUCAAGCUGCAAAAAAGAAAUGACAAAAAAAAAUUGCUUUUAUAAGUUGAUUAUAUAUGCAUAUGAUGGUUUUGAAAUCCAUGUUAAGUAAUACAUUCCAAAUAAGGAAAAAGUAUAAAUAAAAUUCAAAGAUGAAUUAAACUUGAAAUUGAAAUAGUUGAUUAUUGGAUUGAAAGGGAGAUUGAAGGAAAUAAAUUGAACAAUAUUAAAAUGAUAUAAAUGUAAAUGAAACAGAGCUAAUUGCUAAAAUAAAGAAGUAAAAUAAUGAAAUUUGGACAGAAACAAGUUAUUUGUUGGAUC
This 665-nucleotide long non-coding RNA is filed under the name Manihot esculenta (cassava). Its description in RNAcentral is "long non-coding RNA (MESC_LNC005602)". The record is from RNAcentral. Lineage: Eukaryota; Viridiplantae; Streptophyta; Magnoliopsida; Malpighiales; Euphorbiaceae.